GUCAACGACCCACCACUAAUCGGAGUACCCAUAUAGUGGGGGCUUGCUCAUAGCCGAGUUGACCAGUCUAAGUCUUAACUGACUACGUUUAAGGUAAGCGUUAAAGACCUACCAGGGAAUGCGAAGCUAGUUCUCUGCUCUAGAACUUAAAAGUUAAACAGGUUUAAGGGUUAAACCAGUGCUUUUGAGAUAGUUACCGACCUUAAACAUUGACGAAGCUAACAUUAC
Molecule: non-coding RNA, 228 nt
Rfam family: HNH endonuclease-associated RNA and ORF (HEARO) RNA
Source: Rfam